RNAcentral lists this ribosomal RNA (490 nucleotides) under uncultured bacterium. RNAcentral describes it as "bacterial SSU rRNA". It matches the Rfam family "Bacterial small subunit ribosomal RNA", at positions 56 to 535 of the family's 1533-position model. The record is from RNAcentral.
UGCAAGUCGAGGGGCAGCAUGAUUGAAGCUUGCUUCAAUUGAUGGCGACCGGCGCACGGGUGAGUAACGCGUAUCCAACCUUCCGCUUACUCGGGGAUAGCCUUUCGAAAGAAAGAUUAAUACCCGAUGGUAUGAUGAGAUUGCAUGAUAGCAUCAUUAAAGAUUUAUUGGUAAGCGAUGGGGAUGCGUUCCAUUAGGUAGUAGGCGGGGUAACGGCCCACCUAGCCGACGAUGGAUAGGGGUUCUGAGAGGAAGGUCCCCCACAUUGGAACUGAGACACGGUCCAAACUCCUACGGGAGGCAGCAGUGAGGAAUAUUGGUCAAUGGACGAGAGUCUGAACCAGCCAAGUAGCGUGAAGGAUGAAGGUCCUACGGAUUGUAAACUUCUUUUAUAAGGGAAUAAAACCUCCCACGUGUGGGAGCUUGUAUGUACCUUAUGAAUAAGCAUCGGCUAACUCCGUGCCAGCAGCCGCGGUAAUACGGAGGAUGC